Gossypium raimondii (Peruvian cotton) is the source of this 1109-nucleotide RNA transcript. It is a transcript of the gene named probable acylpyruvase FAHD1, mitochondrial, with no coding region annotated. The record is from RefSeq and is a predicted model, not a curated record. Lineage: Eukaryota; Viridiplantae; Streptophyta; Magnoliopsida; Malvales; Malvaceae. The transcript has 8 exons.
UUCCAUGCUUCCUUUUUCAAAUUUCUGAACCCAGAAAGGCCAAAAAAAAAAAAACAAACAUGGCGGCUGCAGGAUCUUUGCAGAAUCUCCUGAAACUAGGGACUAAAAUCGUCGGCGUGGGCCGCAACUAUGCAGCGCACGCCAAAGAACUCGGCAACGCCGUCCCCAAGGAACCAGUACUGUUUUUAAAGCCGACAUCAUCUUAUUUGGAAAAUGGAGGUACAAUUGAGGUUCCACAUCCAUUGAAUUCAUUGGAUUAUGAAGUUGAACUUGCUGUCGUGAUCGGAAAAACGGCUCGGGAUGUGCCUGAAAACACUGCCAUGAACUAUGUUGGAGGCUAUGCUUUAGCGUUGGAUAUGACUGCAAGGGAAAUCCAAUCUGUUGCGAAGUCUGCAGGUCUUCCAUGGACAGUUGCUAAAGGGCAGGACACCUUCACUCCGAUCAGUUCUGUUUUUUCAGUGUCCAUGGUGCCCAAUCCCGACAACUUGGAGCUCUGGUUAAAGGUAGAUGAUGAAAUACGACAAAAGGGUUCCACCAAGGAUAUGAUCUUUAAGAUUCCUUACCUUAUUAGUCACAUAAGUUCCAUAAUGACCCUUUUCGAAGGAGAUACCAUAUUAACAGGCACUCCACAAGGUGUUGGCCCUGUAAAGGUAGGCCAAAAGAUAACUGCCGGAAUAACAGGCUUGGUAGAUGUUUGCUUCGACGUUGGAAAACGCCAAAAGCCAGGGAGUACUUGAGCUUAGUGCAUCUGCACUGCUGCAACCAUUGCCUGUUGAAAGCACAAGUUACCCUUUCAUUUUCUGAUGCAAUUGCAGCAGGACAUAAAAAAUGGCACAAUCUGCCAUUGAAGCUAACCAAGCAAAAGAGACUGGACUUGGAUCUUUUCAGUAUGUGAAUGCGACACUCAGUGUUCAAGACAUGGAUAUAGGCAAGUCCCUGGUUGCUGAUAAUGAACUUCAAAGACACUUUCGCCUCUAUUGUAAAUUGGAUCGAUAGUCAAGCUGAUCAUACUAUCGAUUUUUGGUUUAAUAGAUUUAACGGGUGAAUGCCAGUUGAUCUAUGAUUAAAUAAAAGAAUAAAAAAGACCUAGAGAAAUUAAUAAACACAAA